RNAcentral lists this ribosomal RNA (497 nucleotides) under uncultured bacterium. Its description in RNAcentral is "partial 16S ribosomal RNA". It matches the Rfam family "Bacterial small subunit ribosomal RNA", at positions 28 to 507 of the family's 1533-position model. The record is from RNAcentral.
GAUGAACGCUGGCGGCGUGCCUAAUACAUGCAAGUCGAGCGAACAGACGAGGAGCUUGCUCCUCUGACGUUAGCGGCGGACGUGUGAGUAACACGUGGAUAACCUACCUGUCAGACUGGGAUAACUUCGGGACACCGGAGCUAAUACCGGAUAAUAUAUUGAACCGCAUGGUUCAAUAGUGAAAGACGGCUUUGCUGUCACUUCUAGAUGGAUCCGCGCCGCAUUAGCUAGUUGUUAAGGUAACGGCUUACCAAGGCAACGAUGCGUAGCCGACCUGAGAGGGUGAUCGGCCACACUGGAACUGAGACACGGUCCAGACUCCUACGGGAGGCAGCAGUAGGGAAUCUUCCGCAAUGGGCGAAAGCCUGACGGAGCAACGCCGCGUGAGUGAUGAAGGUCUUCGGAUCGUAAAACUCUGUUAUUAGGGAAGAACAAAUGUGUAAGUAACUAUGCACGUCUUGACGGUACCUAAUCAGAAAGCCACGGCUAACUACGUG